AGCAGAGUUUGAUCAUGGCUCAGAGCGAACGCUGGCGGCAGGCUUAACACAUGCAAGUCGAGCGGAUGUAGCAAUACAUCAGCGGCAGACGGGUGAGUAACACGUGGGAACGUACCUUUUGGUUCGGAACAACACAGGGAAACUUGUGCUAAUACCGGAUAAGCCCUUACGGGGAAAGAUUUAUCGCCGAAAGAUCGGCCCGCGUCUGAUUAGCUAGUUGGUGAGGUAAUGGCUCACCAAGGCGACGAUCAGUAGCUGGUCUGAGAGGAUGAUCAGCCACAUUGGGACUGAGACACGGCCCAAACUCCUACGGGAGGCAGCAGUGGGGAAUAUUGGACAAUGGGCGCAAGCCUGAUCCAGCCAUGCCGCGUGAGUGAUGAAGGCCCUAGGGUUGUAAAGCUCUUUUGUGCGGGAAGAUAAUGACGGUACCGCAAGAAUAAGCCCCGGCUAACUUCGUGCCAGCAGCCGCGGUAAUCA
RNAcentral lists this ribosomal RNA (477 nucleotides) under uncultured bacterium. RNAcentral describes it as "bacterial SSU rRNA". It matches the Rfam family "Bacterial small subunit ribosomal RNA", at positions 1 to 525 of the family's 1533-position model. The record is from RNAcentral.